Small nuclear RNA from Loxodonta africana (African savanna elephant), 103 nucleotides. NCBI's taxonomy places the organism in Eukaryota, Metazoa, Chordata, Mammalia, Proboscidea, Elephantidae. The record is from Ensembl.
GUGCUCAAUUUGGCAACACAUAUACUAAAAUUGGAAAGUAUAGAGAUUAGCAGGGCCCCUGCACAAGGAUGACAUGCACAUUCGUGAAGUGUUCCAUAUUUUU